CGAUAGCACUCCGGAGAAGUCCGCAAAGGAUGCCGAAGGGGUAAAGCGCGAAACCGCGCCAAUCUCUCAGGCAAAAGGACGGAGAAUACACA
This is a regulatory RNA element of Ruminococcus sp. CAG:382, 92 nucleotides long. It matches the Rfam family "Glycine riboswitch aptamer". From Rfam's summary of the family: This family represents the bacterial glycine riboswitch. Glycine riboswitches usually consist of two metabolite-binding aptamers domains with similar structures in tandem. The record is from Rfam. Lineage: Bacteria; Bacillati; Bacillota; Clostridia; Eubacteriales; Oscillospiraceae.